This 468-nucleotide ribosomal RNA is filed under the name uncultured bacterium. RNAcentral's name for it is "partial 16S ribosomal RNA". It matches the Rfam family "Bacterial small subunit ribosomal RNA", at positions 28 to 507 of the family's 1533-position model. The record is from RNAcentral.
GACGAACGCUGGCGGCGUGCUUAACACAUGCAAGUCGAACGGAAAGGCCCUGCUUUUGUGGGGUGCUCGAGUGGCGAACGGGUGAGUAACACGUGAGUAACCUGCCCUUGACUUUGGGAUAACUUCAGGAAACUGGGGCUAAUACCGGAUAGGAGCUCCUGCUGCAUGGUGGGGGUUGGAAAGUUUCGGCGGUUGGGGAUGGACUCGCGGCUUAUCAGCUUGUUGGUGGGGUAGUGGCUUACCAAGGCUUUGACGGGUAGCCGGCCUGAGAGGGUGACCGGCCACAUUGGGACUGAGAUACGGCCCAGACUCCUACGGGAAGCAGCAGUAGGGAAUAUUACACAAUGGGCGGAAGCCUGAUGCAGCAACACCGCGUGCGGGAUGACGGCCUUCGGGUUAUAAACCGCUUUCGCCUGUGACGAAGCGUGAGUGACGGUAAUGGGUAAAAAAGCACCGGCUAACUACGUG